GAUGAACGCUGACAGAAUGCUUAACACAUGCAAGUCUACUUGAUCCUUCGGGUGAUGGUGGCGGACGGGUGAGUAACGCGUAAAGAACUUGCCUUGCAGUCUGGGACAACGUCUGGAAACGGACGCUAAUACCGGAUAUUAUGAUUAGAUCGCAUGAAUUAAUUAUGAAAGCUAUAUGCGCUGCGAGAGAGCUUUGCGUCCCAUUAGUUAGUUGGUGAGGUAACGGCUCACCAAGACGAUGAUGGGUAGCCGGUCUGAGAGGGUGAACGGCCACAAGGGGACUGAGACACGGCCCUUACUCCUACGGGAGGCAGCAGUGGGGAAUAUUGGACAAUGGACCAAAAGUCUGAUCCAGCAAUUCUGUGUGCACGAUGAAGUUUUUCGGAAUGUAAAGUGCUUUCAGUUGGGAAGAAGAAAGUGACGGUACCAACAGAAGAAGCGACGGCUAAAUACGUGCCAGCAGCCGCAGUAA
Molecule: ribosomal RNA, 472 nt
Filed under: uncultured bacterium
Lineage: Bacteria
Description: partial 16S ribosomal RNA
Rfam family: Bacterial small subunit ribosomal RNA
Source: RNAcentral